RNAcentral lists this ribosomal RNA (202 nucleotides) under uncultured bacterium. Its description in RNAcentral is "partial 16S ribosomal RNA". It matches the Rfam family "Bacterial small subunit ribosomal RNA", at positions 338 to 532 of the family's 1533-position model. The record is from RNAcentral.
CCUACGGGAGGCAGCAGUGGGGAAUAUUGCACAAUGGGCGCAAGCCUGAUGCAGCCAUGCCGCGUGUAUGAAGAAGGCCUUCGGGUUGUAAAGUACUUUCAGCGGGGAGGAAGGGAGUAAAGUUAAUACCUUUGCUCAUUGACGUUACCCGCAGAAGAAGCACCGGCUAACUCCGUGCCAGCAGCCGCGGUAAUACGGGGGU